Molecule: non-coding RNA, 225 nt
Organism: Paramuricea clavata
Lineage: Eukaryota; Metazoa; Cnidaria; Anthozoa; Malacalcyonacea; Plexauridae
Source: the annotation of a GenBank genome assembly
CAGGUAUAUAUAGAAGUGAAACUAAUUUAAUACGACUUUAGGCUUUGUGUGACAAGGAGCUGCAUAUAAUAAGCGUUUAAGAAAGUUAAAAAGACGUCAAGGCAAAAUGUGAUUCAGCUUGCAUGAGUGGGGUAUAUUUAGCAUUGAAAGACACAUUGGUGGGUCACAUUGGCUGUUGUCAUUGGGCAGAAUCAACAAUAUACAGCGUUCCAGUCAAGGUACGAU